Long non-coding RNA from Populus trichocarpa (black cottonwood), 843 nucleotides. RefSeq lists it as uncharacterized. The transcript has 2 exons. Lineage: Eukaryota; Viridiplantae; Streptophyta; Magnoliopsida; Malpighiales; Salicaceae. The record is from RefSeq and is a predicted model, not a curated record.
GGUAUGAAGUUCGGAGCGUUCACAUUUUUAUAAGAAAAAUCAUGCUAAUGAUUUUAUGUAAGCAAAACGUGAGGGAUGGAUUGUAUAUAUAAUAGAACAAACCUUCAAGGAUCUUCGCCAUUCAACAAACAGAGUGUGAAGUCCCAGGAAAACACUUGUUAUUGCUAAAAUGGCGAUCAAGACUUGUUGCAUUUCGGUGGAUGGCAAACGAGUCAUGAGCUUCGAGCAGUUCAAGCGGUGGUUAAAAACAUUUGAUGCUGACAAAGAUGGCAAGUUAAGCAGAAAAGAACUUGAAGAUGCCAUACCUGGAGGAUGGUUUACAAGGUGGAAAGGCAAGCCAGGAAUACGCUCUGCAGACUCCAAUGGCAAUGGCUUUAUUGACGAAAGUGAAAUCGACAAUCUCGUGGAGUUUGCUCAAAAAUACCUGGGUGUAAAGAUACUGCAGUUUUAGUACGCUUUGUAGCUCCGGCUUUAUUUUUUACCUCUCCUCUGUAAUAACUAUCCUGGGGUCUCAAUGGACUAUAAAUGUAAAACGAACUGAGUUACAUUCAUCAGUUAAAGCUUGAGCAUUCCAUAAAAGGGCACGUACGUUAAGCUUGACACCAGAAAAAGCAAGCAAGAAGUUGAAGAGAAAAGGCAUGCUGCAUGCAAGCAACUAGCUAUCAGAUCUGAACCAAUGAUGAUGAAUGAUGCUAUCCAUUGAAAAAUUGAAGAUUUUACAUUAAAGUUUCCAGUCAUUGCCUACCCUCCCCAUGGGAUUCCAGUAAACAUGUACGUUGAUUGGAUUACAUUAAUACUACUAUACAAAAUUCUACAUUUACCCUAGUUGAAACAGGAUAAUAG